Molecule: microRNA precursor, 202 nt
Filed under: Medicago truncatula (barrel medic)
Lineage: Eukaryota; Viridiplantae; Streptophyta; Magnoliopsida; Fabales; Fabaceae
Description: MIR2670 microRNA precursor family
Rfam family: MIR2670 microRNA precursor family
Source: Rfam by way of RNAcentral
CUUAGGGCAAAUAGUGACUAGCCCGACUUGGGGAAAAAGAGAUCAACAUUUUGGGUAAAAUUAAAUUUGCUUCUUUUUAUCCAAAAACUUUUUACCGUGGGUAAAAAGAAUCUUCUUGGGGUAUAAAAAGAACCAGAUUUAGAUUUAUCCCAAUGUUAAUGAUUUCUUUUCCCUAAGAAGGUUGUUCACUAUUUGCUCCAAG